UGGGGAAUAUUGCACAAUGGGGGAAACCCUGAUGCAGCGACGCCGCGUGAGUGAGGAAGUAUUUCGGUAUGUAAAGCUCUAUCAGCAGGGAAGAAAAUGACGGUACCUGACUAAGAAGCCCCGGCUAACUACGUGCCAGCAGCCGCGGUAAUACGUAGGGGGCAAGCGUUAUCCGGAUUUACUGGGUGUAAAGGGAGCGUAGACGGAAUUGCAAGUCUGAUGUGAAAAUCCGGGGCCCAACCCCGGAACUGCAUUGGAAACUGUAUUUCUAGAGUGUCGGAGAGGCAAGUGGAAUUCCUGGUGUAGCGGUGAAAUGCGUAGAUAUCAGGAGGAACACCAGUGGCGAAGGCGGCUUGCUGGACGAUGACUGACGUUGAGGCUCGAAAGCGUGGGGAGCAAA
This 400-nucleotide ribosomal RNA is filed under the name uncultured bacterium. RNAcentral's name for it is "bacterial SSU rRNA". It matches the Rfam family "Bacterial small subunit ribosomal RNA", at positions 355 to 772 of the family's 1533-position model. The record is from RNAcentral.